GAUGAACGCUAGCUACAGGCUUAACACAUGCAAGUCGAGGGGAAACGGCAUUAAGUGCUUGCACUUUUUGGACGUCGACCGGCGCACGGGUGAGUAACGCGUAUCCAACCUUCCCAUGACUAAGGGAUAACCUGCCGAAAGGCAGACUAAUACCUUAUGGUCUUCACUGACGGCAUCAGAUGUGAAGUAAAGUUUUAUCGGUUAUGGAUGGGGAUGCGUCUGAUUAGCUUGUUGGCGGUGUAACGGCCCACCAAGGCUACGAUCAGUAGGGGUUCUGAGAGGAACGUCCCCCACAUUGGAACUGGGACACGGUCCAAACUCAUACGGGAGGCAGCAGUGAGGAAUAUAGGUCAAUGGGAGAGAGCAUGAACCAGCCAAGUAGCGUGCAGGAUGACGGCGCUAUGUGUUGUAAACUGCUUUUGUAUGGGGAUAAAGUCAAUCACGUGUGAUUGUUUGAAGGUACCAUACGAAUAAGGACCGGCUAAUUCCGUG
This 492-nucleotide ribosomal RNA is filed under the name uncultured bacterium. RNAcentral's name for it is "partial 16S ribosomal RNA". It matches the Rfam family "Bacterial small subunit ribosomal RNA", at positions 28 to 507 of the family's 1533-position model. The record is from RNAcentral.